GCCGGAAUAGCUUAGAUGGUAGAGCAGAGGACUGAAAAUCCUCGUGUCACCAGUUU
Molecule: transfer RNA, 56 nt
Filed under: Grimmia muehlenbeckii
Lineage: Eukaryota; Viridiplantae; Streptophyta; Bryopsida; Grimmiales; Grimmiaceae
Description: partial transfer RNA-Phe
Rfam family: tRNA
About the family: Transfer RNA (tRNA) molecules are approximately 80 nucleotides in length. Their secondary structure includes four short double-helical elements and three loops (D, anti-codon, and T loops).
Source: RNAcentral